RNAcentral lists this ribosomal RNA (270 nucleotides) under uncultured archaeon. Its description in RNAcentral is "partial 16S ribosomal RNA". It matches the Rfam family "Archaeal small subunit ribosomal RNA", at positions 477 to 747 of the family's 1478-position model. The record is from RNAcentral.
CAGCACCUCAAGUGGUCAGGAUGAUUAUUGGGCCUAAAGCAUCCGUAGCCGGCUCUGUAAGUGUUCGGUUAAAUCUGUAUGCUCAACAUACAGGCUGCCGGGAAUACUGCAGAGCUAGGGAGUGGGAGAGGUAGACGGUACUCGGUAGGAAGGGGUAAAAUCCUUUGAUCUAUUGAUGACCACCUGUGGCGAAGGCGGUCUACCAGAACACGUCCGACGGUGAGGGAUGAAAGCUGGGGGAGCAAACCGGAUUAGAUACCCGAGUAGUCC